Molecule: unclassified non-coding RNA, 536 nt
Filed under: Hevea brasiliensis (rubber tree)
Lineage: Eukaryota; Viridiplantae; Streptophyta; Magnoliopsida; Malpighiales; Euphorbiaceae
Source: RNAcentral
GUAAAAGUCUCUUCAAAAGCCCAUACAGUCUCUUCCUUCUUUACCCCACUCUACACUUCGUGGGUUGAUUUCCAUUUGUUAAAUUUUCUUUAUUGAGAGAAGGUUCCACCUCAUGAUGAUGAUCCUGAAUGGUCAAAUUCCCUAUUGAUGAGGAGGGGCUUGCAAUUGCUUUGUUAUUCAAUUGGAGAGCAAGGUAUUUUUUUUUCUCUCUCAUCCCCCCUCUAUAUAAGUAUGAAAAGUAGCAUAUUGAUGUGAGUUAUUGGUAUGUAUUUAUUUUGAGUGGGGGGGUUGUGACAUUGAAGUUUCAAGUAGGUGAGUAAAUGUGGAAACCAAACAUUACACAGAGGCUGGAGAGCAGAUCAUUCAUUAAAUUUCACCCAAUUUUAGCAGCAUGUGUUUCAUUUUGGUCUCUAUGAUUUGGGUGCUAUGAAGAGGAUAAUGUAAAAGGCAGGUGAGAAUGAUAUUUUAGCUACCAUAGUUUCAGUUCCUUAUUUUCUUCUUUUUGUUUCCACCUAUGUGUUCUUUUUCCCCUUUUU